This 253-nucleotide ribosomal RNA is filed under the name uncultured bacterium. RNAcentral's name for it is "partial 16S ribosomal RNA". It matches the Rfam family "Bacterial small subunit ribosomal RNA", at positions 524 to 776 of the family's 1533-position model. The record is from RNAcentral.
UACGUAGGGGGCUAGCGUUGUCCGGAUUUAUUGGGCGUAAAGAGCGUGUAGGCGGCCAGGUAGGUCUGCUGUGAAAACUCGAGGCUCAACCUCGAGACGUCGGCGGAAACCAUCUGGCUAGAGUCCGGAAGAGGAGAGUGGAAUUCCUGGUGUAGCGGUGAAAUGCGCAGAUAUCAGGAAGAACACCCGUGGCGAAGGCGGCUCUCCGGGACGGUACUGACGCUGAGACGCGAAAGCGUGGGGAGCGAACAGG